This 499-nucleotide ribosomal RNA is filed under the name uncultured bacterium. RNAcentral describes it as "bacterial SSU rRNA". It matches the Rfam family "Bacterial small subunit ribosomal RNA", at positions 30 to 518 of the family's 1533-position model. The record is from RNAcentral.
AUUGAACGCUGGCGGCAUGCCUUACACAUGCAAGUCGAACGGUAACGGGCCUUCGGGUGCCGACGAGUGGCGAACGGGUGAGUAAUGUAUCGGAACGUACCUUUUCAGUGGGGGGAUAACGUAGCGAAAGUUACGCUAAUACCGCAUAUUCUGUGAGCAGGAAAGCAGGGGAUCGCAAGACCUUGCGCUGAUUGAGCGGCCGAUAUCAGAUUAGCUAGUUGGUGAGGUAAAGGCUCACCAAGGCGACGAUCUGUAGCGGGUCUGAGAGGAUGAUCCGCCACACUGGAACUGAGACACGGUCCAAACUCCUACGGGAGGCAGCAGUAAGGAGUUUUUCGGCAAUGGGGGGGAACCCUGACCGAGCAACGCCGCGUGAGUGAUGACGGCCCUAUGGGUUGUAAAGCUCUGUUAUAAGGGACGAACAGACUUUGCUAGGAAAUGAGCAGAGUCUGACGGUACUUUAUCAGAAAGCCACGGCUAACUACGUGCCAGCAGCCGC